This 5502-nucleotide long non-coding RNA is filed under the name Lynx pardinus (Iberian lynx). Lineage: Eukaryota; Metazoa; Chordata; Mammalia; Carnivora; Felidae. The record is from RNAcentral.
GCUGGAGUAUGCACAGCCCCAAUUCUGUGCUGAGAGGAUGCAAAACAGCAGACUAUCUGUGGUACAACUGUCUGGAGCAUCAAUUUUACUGUAAGAUUUGGAACAACCGAAGUUACAUAAUUUACAAGGUAAGUAUUUAAAAAUUUUAAACAGACCGGGCCAGUAACGUGUGCCCAAAAUGUCAGACUAUCUCUGAGAAAACUAAGAAAAACAUAUUAACCAUUAUUUUAAACAGGAAAAAUUAUAAGGAAUAGCAGGUUAAUUGAAAAAUUCUACCAAUUUUCUGAAUCACAACAUGGCACCUAGCGGUGUUACAAAUGUCAUAUUAGGAUAUAAAAUGCUUAAAACAUUACCUCUUAGUCACGUCACAAUUAAGUAGCAGUGGCCUCUCUUAGACCACCAUCAGACGUGUUCACACACCUUUGCUGAUAAUACAAAAUUUGCAAAGUGCUGUAAUUUUAUGGUCUACCAAUUGUAUUUGAAGCCAAUGUGAAGGUUUUCUUGCAAGCCAUUUAGUUUAAAAUAUGUUAUUAAGUUUUGAAAAUUCAAUAUAAAUUAUAUCAGCUGAAGGUUGAUAAACAGCCACUAUGCCAUUCUGGUAUUCAUAACUCAGUGUUCUUCCAGGGAAAUCAUACUUGCAGAUAUGUUUUAUGGGGGUGUGCCUGUAUUAUGAAAUAGAAGGCAAAAAUCUCAUUUAUUUUAAAUGUUUAUGUAUUUUUGAGAGAGAGAGAGCACAAGCGGGAGAGGGGCAGAGAGACGGAGACACAGAAUCUGAAACAGGCCCCAGGCUCUGAGCUGUCCGCACAGAGCCGGACGCGGGGCUCGAACCUGCAAACCGUGAGAUCAUGAUCUGAGCCAAAGUCAAAGGCUCAGACGACUGAGUCAUCCAGGUGCUUCUAAAACUCUCAUUUAUUUUAAAGACUAAAGCUGUGGGGGUGCCUGGGUGGCUCAGUCGGUUAAGUGUCCAACUUCAGCUCGGGUCAUGAUCUCUCGGCCUGUGAGUUCAAGCCCUGCGUCUGGCUCUUUGCUGACAGCUUGGAGCCUGGAGCCUGCUUCAGAUUCUGUGUCUCCCUCUCUCUCUGCCCCUCCCCCACUCAUGCACUGUCUGUCUCUCUCUGUCAAAAAUAAAUAAACACUAAAAAAAAAAAAAAAAAAGACUGAAGCUAUAACUUCAAGUAAGUUUGGGACUGCAGAAUCCUUUCAGCCUCCCUCCACAGUGUUCUGGAGUUCUGUCUGUAAUGACUCAUUCAUUUCUCCCUGCCUGCUGGGUCAUUUCUAUCAGUAUACAAAUGUGCUUAAUGUUGUGCAUUAAGUGAAGGCACUUCCUUUGACCCUGAAUUCCUCUGCAUUCUCACCAUUCUGUUUCUCUGCUCCGUAAAAGCCACUUCUCUGCACAUUCUCUCCUGAACCCAAUAUAUUUUAGCUUUCCUCCAUACUACUUCACUGACCUGGCUUUCAUCAAGGUCUUUCCAUUUGCCAAAUUCAAAGCCAAGUUUCUGUUCUUAUCUCAGUCUUUUAGCUGCACUCAACACAGAUGAUACAAUUGAACACUUCUUCCUUGUAUUAACUAUAUUUUCUUAUCUUCUUUUUAAAAAUUUCUCUGAUGCUCUGGAUCUGGGGCCUCACUGACUAGGGUGGGAUUGCCCCUUCCAGGUUUAGAUAACUCCUAAAGAUAGCAAAUAAUUUGUGCUGGGAGCAUGUCUUUCAUUUGCAAACCAACUAAUCCAGAGCUUACACCCUGUCACCUCUUCUGGAAACUGUUAGGCUCGCUCCAGGCUAAUGUUCCCCUGCCCUAAUAACCCCAGGGCCAGGUCCUAGAUAACUGGGGACAGUCCUGAUACUCCAGAGCCCACUGAAACUGUUCAGACUAGCCACUCCUAAGCCUACAUAGUCUGUCUACCCUGCCUCAGUCAUUCCUUCCCAUAAUAAAAGCUCUGACUGAUGCUCUCCCCUCACUUCCCCUGCCUCCUGACCAACCUAGAAGCUUCCUGUUGUGGCUCCGGAUUUUAGGGAGCUGUGAGUAAAAACUUCCUUUAUGACAGUCAUUUCUGUGCAUGCUUGCCAUCCCUGCCAGAACAAAUCUCUGGGUACAUUUGAAAACCCUCCUUCUUGGUACACUCCCCUGUGGAUUUUUGAGAACCUUUCUUCCCCGCUUACCUUACUCUACUUCCUCCUGCCCGUCCUCCUCCACUAGAUCUCUAGUGAUCCAUACCUUCCACGCUUCUCUUUCCUGCCCUCUCUUCUCAGAGUGAUCCCUCGUGAUCUCAGCUUUCAGAACCAUCUAUCUGUACCACCAGGCCUGGGUCCUCAUCCCUGGGGUGGGGGUGAGGGACACCCAGGCAUCAUUCUUGACUCUUCUACACUUCUCACCCCAUAUCUGUGGCUUGUUGGCUCUGCCUGCAGCAUGCAUCCUGGUGGCGGCCUCUUCUCACUCACUGCCUCUGUUUCUACAACCAGUUUCAGCCACUUUCCCCUCUCUCAGUUGACUGCCAGACACAGGCUUCUAACCACCUCCCUGCUUCCUGUCUUCUCCUGCGGUCUCUUGUCCCCUCAGUAUCCAAACCGAUCUCAAAAAAGUGAAAAAUGUCAUACAGACAUACCUCAUUUUAUUGCAUUUUACUUUACUAUGCUCUGCAGAUACUGUUUUUUUAAAAAAAAAAUUAAUGUCUAUUCAUUUUUUGAGAGAGAGAGACAGCAUGAGUGGGAGAGACUGUUUUUUUAAAAAAAAUUUUAGUGUCUAUUCAUUUUUUGAGAGAGAGAGACAGCAUGAGUGGGAGAGGGGCAGAGAGAGAGGAAGACACAGAAUCUGAAGCAGGCUCCAGGCUCCGACCUGUCAGCACAGAGCCUGACGUGGGGAUUGAACCCACGAACCGUGAGAUCAUGACCUGAGCCAAAGGGGGACGCUUAACCAACUGAGCCAACCAGGGGCUUUGUAUAUACUGUGUUUUUAACAAACUGAAGGUUUGUAGCAACCCUGUGUUGAGCAUUGGUGCCAUUUUUACAAAGUCAUCUGCUUGCUUUGUGUAACUGUCAUAUUUUGGUAAUUCUUACACUACGAACUGUUUCAUUAUUAUUUGUUACUGUGAUCUGUGAUCAGUAAUUACAACUCUGAAAGCUCAGGUGAUGGUUAGCAUUUUUUUGGCAAUAAACAAUUUUUUAAUCAAGGUAUGUAUAUUUUUUUCAAUGUUUAUUUUUUUUUGAGAGAGAGCGCACAAGCAGGGGAGGGGCAGAGAGAGAAGGAGAUACAGAAUCAGAAGCAGGCUCCAGGCUCUAAGCUGUCAGCACAGAGCCUGACUCAGGGCUCAAACUCACAAGCUAUGAGAUCAUGACAUAAGCUGAAGUUGGACACUUAACCAACUGAGCCACCUAGGUGCCCCAGUAUAUACAUUUUUUAAGACAAAAUGCUAUUGCACACUUAAUAGAUUACAGUAUAGUGUAAGCAUAACUUUUAUAUCCACUGGGGAACCAGGAAAUUUAUUUGACUCACUUCACUGCAUAUUCACUUUAUUUGUGGUUGGCUGGAACCAAACUGCAGUAUAUCUGAGGCAGGCCUGUAUAUGCUACCCACCCCCCACUUAAACCCUGCCUGGCUUUAACCUGGCUUUUCAUUGCAGUAGUAUAAAAGCUUAGAUAACCUGGCCCCUGCCUACCUCUGCAGCCUCAUCUGCUACCCUUGCUUGUUCAUACUAUUAUUUGUCUGAAUUUCUGGUAUCUAGAGCUGAAAGCAAUCUUAUUAUUUUAUUUUUUAAUGUUUAUUCAUUUUUGAGAGAGAGCAAGUGAGCAUGAGCUGAGGAGGGGCAGAGAGGGAGACAGAAUCUGAAGCAGGCUCUAGGCUCUGAGCUGUCAGCACAGUGCCCAAUGCGGGGCUCAAACCCAUGGACCGUGAGAUCAUGACCUGAGACAAAGUCAGACACUUAACUGACUGAGCCAGCCAGGUGCCCCGAACUGAAAGCAAUCUUAAUUGACAAAUGGAUAUUAGAUCACAGAUUUGGGAGCAUAGCAAAAGUCUGAGGAUGAAGGGCCAGGAAUGGCUUAAAAAAAAAAAAAAAAGAAGAACAAAGAAAUAAGAAGCAAAACAUAACUGAUUUGUAUGUAUAUAUCCAAAAGAAUAUAGUAGCAAAUAUGAAUUUUUAAAUGACCACACCAACAGACUUGCAAAAAAAAAAAUUACCUUUGAUUGUAUUCUAAAAACACAAAAAUAUACUUAGUAAAUAUAAAAGGAUAACAGUUUUACACAUCACAUUUUGGGACUACGAUACAAUAAAAUUAGAAGUACAAAAAUAAUUUAAAUAUGCUCAACUCAGGGCGCUGGGGUGCCUCUGUCAGUUAAGUGUCCAAUUUGAUUUCAGCUCAGAUCAUGAUCUCUCAGUUCAUGAGACUGAGUCGGGCUCUGCGCUGACAGCACAGAGCCGGCUUGGGAUUCUCUUUCUCUGUUUCUCUGCGUCUCACCCAUGCACGCUAAUGCGCACGUUCUCUCUCUCUCUCUCAAAAUGAAUAAACAUUUAAAAAUAGAUAAAUAUGCUCAACUCCGUGAAAACAUUAAAAUAUUAUUCUACAUAAAUUAAUGCCUGCAUCAGUGUGCGAAUUCAAGGCACAAAUACAUUGCCUAUAAAUAUACAGCUGACCCUUGAACAACACUGAAGUUGGGAUGCACACACUCCUUUAUCCCCUGCAGUCAAAAAUCAGCAUAUAGCUUUUGACUCCCCCCAAACUUAAUUACUGUUGACUGGAAGCCUUACUGUUAAUAAAUUACCACCUAUUUUAUAUAUGUAUUAUAUACUAUAUUCUUAAAGGAAAUGAGAAAAAUUGUUAAAAUGAAGGAAAAUACAUUUAUAGUACUGUAGUGUAAAAAAUCCACAUAUAAGUAGACCUGCAAACUUCAAACCCGUGUUAUUCAAUUGUACAUGCAAGUGUAUUGUAUUUAUACUGGUGAAAGGAGAGAGCUUUCCAUCUCUGAAGCUCCUGGGUAUGUUCAUCAGUAGGCAGCCAACCUAAAAUCUGUUAACAUCAUCCCAUUACAGGUGGGAGCAACAGGGAAGGUGGUGCUGGGAACUGUAACUAUUGAAGACACCAGUAAUAAAUCAGAGGACUCCAUCCUGCCAAGCCUAAACUUGACCUCACAGUCUUUAUCAGCACAGGGCUCCAGGCAGCUGCCACGAAUGGACGGGUGUUGGGGUACAAGAUCAAAACUACCCUAUGAUGGCAGACAGCCUGGGAACUGGAUCCAGCAGGUACAGUGGAAAAAAUCAGCGGCCCCCAAGAAUAUAUGAUGCACUCCAAGUGAGGACUUGAAUCCCUGGAGUUUUGGGAAGGGCUCAGAGCCAGACUGCUUCAUGUCCUCUCCCUCUGACUGGUUGGGAAUCGAUGGAACAUGCAAACAUAUUAACACUGGCAGCUGUGUGGACUGUGUCAACACAUGGAAGUGCACAAAUGGAGUAUUUUAAAACAGAACACAAUGUUAUAUGUCAAUUGUAUCUCAAUAAAUCUGGGGGAGAAAAGCAG